GACGAACGCUGGCGGCGUGCUUAACACAUGCAAGUCGAACGGAAAGGCCCUGCUUUUGUGGGGUGCUCGAGUGGCGAACGGGUGAGUAACACGUGAGUAACCUGCCCUUGACUUUGGGAUAACUUCAGGAAACUGGGGCUAAUACCGGAUAGGAGCUCCUGCUGCAUGGUGGGGGUUGGAAAGUUUCGGCGGUUGGGGAUGGACUCGCGGCUUAUCAGCUUGUUGGUGGGGUAGUGGCUUACCAAGGCUUUGACGGGUAGCCGGCCUGAGAGGGUGACCGGCCACAUUGGGAAUGAGAUACGGCCCAGACUCCUACGGGAGGCAGCAGGGGGGAAUAUUGCAAAAUGGGCGGAAGCCUGAUGCAGCAACGCCGCGUGCGGGAUGACGGCCUUCGGGUUGUAACCCGCUUUCGCCUGUGACGAAGCGUGAGUGACGGUAAUGGGUAAAGAAGCACCGGCUAACUACGUG
This 468-nucleotide ribosomal RNA is filed under the name uncultured bacterium. RNAcentral's name for it is "partial 16S ribosomal RNA". It matches the Rfam family "Bacterial small subunit ribosomal RNA", at positions 28 to 507 of the family's 1533-position model. The record is from RNAcentral.